AGCGAACGCUGGCGGCAGGCCUAACACAUGCAAGUCGAACGGAGUGGCGGACGGGUGAGUAACACGUGGGCACGUGCCCUUUGGUUCGGAACAACUCAGGGAAACUUGAGCUAAUACCGGAUGCCAUUGGAGCGGCCCGCGUCUGAUUAGUUAGUUGGUGAGGUAAAGGGUCACCAAGGCGACGAGCAGUAGCUGGUCUGAGAGGAUGAUCAGCCACAUUGGGACUGAGCCACGGCCCAAACUCCUACGGGAGGCAGCAGUGGGGAAUCUUGAGCAAUGGGCGAAAGCCUGACGCAGCCAUGCCGCGUGAAUGAUGAAGGUCUUAGGAUAGUAAAAGUCUUUCACCGGGGACGCGGUACCCGGAGAGGAAGCCCCGGCUAACUUCGUGCCAGCAGCCGCGGUAAUUC
RNAcentral lists this ribosomal RNA (407 nucleotides) under uncultured bacterium. RNAcentral describes it as "partial 16S ribosomal RNA". It matches the Rfam family "Bacterial small subunit ribosomal RNA", at positions 29 to 526 of the family's 1533-position model. The record is from RNAcentral.